Molecule: long non-coding RNA, 391 nt
Filed under: Sorghum bicolor (sorghum)
Lineage: Eukaryota; Viridiplantae; Streptophyta; Magnoliopsida; Poales; Poaceae
Description: long non-coding RNA (SBIC_LNC017063)
Source: RNAcentral
CGCACACAAUAUGACAUCAACUAGACAAGUUUCAUGAUUUUUGAAAUUCAUUCAUAUUUUAUAUAAUUAAAAAACUACUCGCACGCAAGUUGGCGGUUUUGCCCCAUGUGCAUGUUGUUCGAAACUUUGAGAUAGUUCCUUGAUUUAGCCUAAAUUUACACUAAGAAACAAGGAUGACAUUUUUUGAAAGAAUGAAAUCUAUUAUUAGAUGCGCCUAUAGUUCAAACUCAUAUUUUUCAGAAAUAUUCAACGAAACAAAAUAAACUAAACAAAUAUACCCAAGGGCAAUGAAAUUAAAAUGUCCCAAAUUUGAACAUGUUUGUGUUAGUGUAGUAAAGCUUCAAAAAAUUGCUGGAAAAAAACAAAAAAAUAUAUUUUGCCGAGUGCCACC